RNAcentral lists this ribosomal RNA (487 nucleotides) under uncultured Pseudonocardineae bacterium. Its description in RNAcentral is "bacterial SSU rRNA". It matches the Rfam family "Bacterial small subunit ribosomal RNA", at positions 95 to 596 of the family's 1533-position model. The record is from RNAcentral. Lineage: Bacteria; Bacillati; Actinomycetota; Actinomycetes; Pseudonocardiales.
GUGGCGAACGGGUGAGUAACACGUGGGUAAUCUGCCCUGUACUCUGGGAUAAGCCUGGGAAACUGGGUCUAAUACCGGAUAUGACCUUUCACCGCAUGGUGGGGGGUGGAAAGUUCCGGCGGUAUGGGAUGAACCCGCGGCCUAUCAGCUUGUUGGUGGGGUAAUGGCCUACCAAGGCGACGACGGGUAGCCGGCCUGAGAGGGCGACCGGCCACACUGGGACUGAGACACGGCCCAGACUCCUACGGGAGGCAGCAGUGGGGAAUAUUGCACAAUGGGCGCAAGCCUGAUGCAGCGACGCCGCGUGAGGGAUGACGGCCUUCGGGUUGUAAACCUCUUUCGCCAGGGACGAAGCGCGAGUGACGGUACCUGGAUAAGAAGCACCGGCUAACUACGUGCCAGCAGCCGCGGUAAUACGUAGGGUGCGAGCGUUGUCCGGAAUGACUGGGCGUAAAGGGCGCGUAGGCGGAUGGCACAGUCAGAUGUG